GAGCCCGCCUCCCCACCCCUGCUUAGCCCCGCCCAGCAGCCUCAAAAGAAGCUAGGCUAAACGAGUAGGGUAUAAUUUAUACUAAGCUAAUUCGAAUUUAAAAGACAGGUUAUUCCAUCCUUUGGUUCAAUCGGCCUCUUAAUCGUACACACAAAUCAGGGAAAGCGUCCAGGGUUAGACUUAGAUGCUUUUAGGUAAACCGACGCCCUCCAUCUUGCAGGCAGUCCUGGUCUCUCUGGCUAUAUAACUCUAGAGAUUUUUCUUUGCGGGGGGUGGUAAGGAUGGGAUACGCUACUCAGAAAAUGACCUGGAUCAAAGUCAGUGUUGGGUCUGUUUCCGGGCCACUGGCCUUUCUCUUGCUUCUUCCCCCAACCCCAUUUCUGUCUGAACUGGUUGGGGUCGCUUCAGACAAGAACUAAGAUCUCCACGUGGAAGCUGGGAAGGCUUGUCUUCCAGAGAUCAAGGCCAACUUUGACCAAAAAAAGCUUUGAUCCAACCAACCGAGGCCAGCACAUGGGUGAGGUCCUUUCUAAUGGCCAUAUUUGGGAAGCAGAUCUGAUCGGACAGAAUUCCUGAGCUUGUCACGAGGGCCAAAAGGGCUGGAUCUGUUUCAUAUAACCUAGAUGCAUUCAAGCCUCCCAGAUUUCUCAAAGAGUACCUAGAAAUGGCGAACUGGGCGGUUGGGGAGUGUACAAAGAAAGGGCUAAGCUUGCCCCAACACGUGUUGUGGCUGAGGAAGGGUAGGGCAUUCACUACGCGUAUCCUAAACAGUGAUCCUAGGUGGGACGAAAUGACGGUUCCUUCUCCACCCUAGACAGUAGGGCGGAGGCCUGAAAGAAGGCAAACAAAGCUUCACAAAGCUUGGGAACUGGCCAGGAAGAGAGACAAUCACCAACGGGGGGUUGGGAGGGAAAUAAAAGGUAGAGAUCCUGGAGGGAGGUGAAGGGGGGGAGAGAAGGGGGGAAUAUUAGUAGAAGAGGAAGUGGUUUAUAUUAUUAUCUCCCAAAGAGUUUCUAAUCUACAUCCUUUCAGGUGGAAAACACAUACUACCCCCUCAGCACCCAAGCACAGCAGUGAAAAAGUCUGCAGAAACCAGGAAUAGGCAUCUCUAAGACAAAGGAUACACACAGCUCCACUUUCAGUGUGCUCCAAAGUGAACCUCUUCUUUGAACUCGGUUGUUUCCAUAGUUAAUGGCUCCUGCAUGUGCUGCUGCUACAACCACCCACCUGAAUG
This is a long non-coding RNA of Vombatus ursinus (common wombat), 1234 nucleotides long. RefSeq lists it as uncharacterized. The record is from RefSeq and is a predicted model, not a curated record. NCBI's taxonomy places the organism in Eukaryota, Metazoa, Chordata, Mammalia, Diprotodontia, Vombatidae. The transcript is spliced from 3 exons.